This is an RNA transcript of Corythoichthys intestinalis (scribbled pipefish), 3001 nucleotides long. It is a transcript of the gene named zinc finger protein 391-like, with no coding region annotated. The transcript has 6 exons. The record is from RefSeq and is a predicted model, not a curated record. NCBI's taxonomy places the organism in Eukaryota, Metazoa, Chordata, Actinopteri, Syngnathiformes, Syngnathidae.
AGUACUCGCCGAUUGCUCUGGACCAGUAGUGCGUUGAAUACAACUACUUUUCAUCUCUCCUUGGCCCCAUGACGUAGAGUACUCAAUUGAGAGGUGGCAGAAAUUAUCGGACACGCCAAGAAUCCGUUCACUCUCGCUUGUGCUUCGAGUUGUUUGGGUGAGCGUUGAAACUUCAAGGAAGGCCUGCCUAGCUUAUUCUACCCAAGUUUAGCCGCUAGCAAAAGAGAUGAAACAACUUGCGUGGUAUCAACACGUCGCCGAGCAAGUAAACAUCAAUCCCGAAAUGACAGAUGUCAGUCAAGCGCAUUGUCCUGCAUUGCCCAAACGCCAGGGGUCUGCUCGCAUUGAAGAAGAUGAGGAGGAAGAGUCGCCAUACAUGAAGAAGGAGGAGGAAGUAUAUGUCCACAUUAAAGAGGAGCAGGAGGAGUAUUUCAUUCCAGUUGAGAACACCCACAUUGAGGAGCAGCAGAAACGUUAUCCCCUCAUAAAGGAGGAGGCGGACCCUCCAUAUGUAAAAGUGGAGGUGAUAGACGUCUCCAAGUGGACUGGUGAGUCCUUGAAGGGUGAAGAUGCAGGUCCGAGUCAGGCCAGCAGAGGGGCGGAGCCUACGAGUGGCGGCAGUAGCAGUUUAAAAGAAGGAUCCCAAGCAGACCUCAUGGUUCAAUCAUCAGAGAGUGAUGACGCCACAUCACACUCGCUGUUCUGUUUAAAAAAAUAUCUUGGUCCUGAACGACUUGAGUCAGAGCCUCCUGGCUUUAAAGAGGAAGUUAAGCACCCACAAAUGAAACAAGAAGAGCCAGAGCACCCUCAACUGCAAAAGAGAGAAGAGCAACUUCCAAUCAAAAAGGAGGAGGAAGAGCUGCAAUAUGUUAAAGAGGAGGACGAUAUCACCAGGUGGACUGAUGAGCCCUUGAAGAUUGAAGAGGCUCUGAGUGAGACCAGGAAAAGGGCGGGGCCUCCAAGCGGCAGCAGCAGCUCAACAGGAUUGCAAGCAAACGGCUUUAUCGCUCCGCUUUCAGAUAGCGACGACGCUACGUCACACUUGCCUGACAGUGAUGAUGAAGGUCAUGAGAAAACUCACAGUGACGGCGAACUCUGCAAAUGCUCUCAGUGUGGGAAAACCUUCGCUAAUAAGUAUACUUGCCGUACCCAUAUGAGGAGCCACACUGGUGAGAAACCCUUUGUCUGCUCAGUUUGUGGCCAAAGAUUCAGACACAAGGGCACCUUAAAAAUACACAUCAGAACCCACACUGGAGAAAAACCUUUUUCCUGCUCAUUUUGUGGCCAAGGAUUCAGUCGCAAGAGGAAUUUAACAACACACAUAAUAAACCACACUGGCGAAAAACCUUUUUCCUGCUCAGUUUGUGGUCAGGGAUUCAGUCAAAAGCAAACGUUACAAAGACACACAAGAACCCACACUGGUGAAAAACCUUUUACCUGCUCAGUUUGUGGCCAAAGAUUCGGUCAAAAGCACACCUUACAAAGACACAAAAGAACCCACACCGGAGAAAAACCCUUUGCUUGCUCAGUUUGUGGCCAAAGGUUUGGUCACAAGAGCACCUUACAAAGACACAAAAGAGCCCACAACAGAGAAAAUCCUUUUGCCUGCUCAGUUUGUGGCCAAAGAUAUAGUCGCAAAAGCACCUUGCAAAGACACACAAGAACCCAUAGUGGAGAAAAACCUUUUUCCUGCUCAGUUUGUGGUCAAAGGUUCACUGAGAAGGCAAACUUAUCACAACACACAAGAACUCACACUGGAGAAAAACCUUUUUCCUGUUCAAUUUGUGGUCAAAGAUUCAGUCGCAAGAGCACCUUAAACACACACACAAGAACCCACACUGAUGAGAAAGCUUUUUCCUGAUCAGUUCCUGGUCAAGGGUUCACUCUGAGGGGCCGUUUACAUGAUGCGACAAAUGUCACGCUUGCAUUUAUAUGGUCUACCGUCUCUGUUCCGUCUCCAUCCGGAUGAUCACACAAAACAAUGAUGAAAUGAAAUGUGAAAACAAUGUAGAAUUCAUGUCAUCCCUAGGGUACAGUGCCGUUUUACAAGGUGACAGCUAAUGACGCUCUUCCUUGACAGCAACAACCUGCUCAGCCUGGAAGACAACAUACCCACCCACUCCAAGCAGUGGCAUCCACGGUGAGCCUUCUUCAAACUUUUGGAACAUGGAGUCAAAUGGAGUUUGGAACAAAGGGGUAACACAAGAGGUGAACGCGCGGAAUAUCUGCCCUCCCAGUUGGCGCACUGUGCCACUUACCACAACAGCAACCCAAGUGAACCACUUCUCUCGCACCCAAGCAAACCGUGAGGGAAAGUUCCAGGACUUUGAAAAGAAAUGGCAAUUCAAGCACAUCGCAUCCAGUCCUGGGCACGUCCAGUCAAAUGGUCAGGCGGAAGGACUGUACACUGUGAAAAAGUCGCUGUUUGAACAUCACAACACACCACUGGAUGGACUUGCUUUUGUCACAAAAGCUCCUCGGCCGUCAUGCCAUGCACCCUCGAGGAUCCUGCCUAGGGUGUAGAGCUGGUCCACUGUUCCACGGCCGGGACGAAAACCACACUGCUCCUCCUGAACCCGAGAUUCGACUUCCCGACGGAACCUCCUCUCAAGUACCCCUGAAUAGACUUUACCGAUCCUUGGACUUGAUCCUAGGAGCUAUGUUGUCUGGGCCUUUCAGCCCCUGGCAGGGUCACCCAUGACAAACAGGUCCUAGGUGAGGGGCCAGACUAAGCAUGGCUCAAAAUGACUCCUUAUGAUGAGUAAAAUAAAUUGAGUCAGGUUUCCCUUGCCCAGACGCGGGUUACCGGGGCCCCCCUCUGGAGCCAGGCCUAGAGGUGGGGCUCGAAGGCAAGCUUCUGGUGGCCGGGCCUGUCCCCAUGGGGCCUGGUCGGGCACUCGCCACCCGUGGAAGGGGCCAAAGGGGUCGGGUGCAUAGAGAGUUGGGUGGCAGCCAAAGGCGGGGGCCUUGGCGGUCCGACCCCCAGCUGCAGAAGCUGACU